This 312-nucleotide unclassified non-coding RNA is filed under the name uncultured fungus. Its description in RNAcentral is "sequence contains ITS1". The stretch from base 1 to 71 matches the Rfam family "5.8S ribosomal RNA", at positions 84 to 154 of the family's 154-position model. Lineage: Eukaryota; Fungi. The record is from RNAcentral.
GUGAAUCAUCGAAUCUUUGAACGCACAUUGCACUCCUUGGUAUUCCGAGGAGUAUGCCUGUUUCAGUAUCAUGAGCACUCUCACACCUAACCUUUGGGUUUAUGGCGUGGAAUUGGAAUGCGCCGACUGUCAUGGUUGGCCCUUCUAAAAUGUAGUUCUUGGCUGUCACCUAAUACAGCAGUUUGGCCUAAUAGUUUUGGCAUUCAUUGUCAAAUCUUUGGCUAACAUUUGCUCCAGGAGUCAGUCUUGAUAAUACAGAAAACUCAUUCAAAUUUUGAUCUGAAAUCAGGUAGGGCUACCCGCUGAACUUAA